RNAcentral lists this ribosomal RNA (253 nucleotides) under uncultured bacterium. RNAcentral describes it as "partial 16S ribosomal RNA". It matches the Rfam family "Bacterial small subunit ribosomal RNA", at positions 524 to 776 of the family's 1533-position model. The record is from RNAcentral.
UACGUAGGGGGCAAGCGUUGUCCGGAUUUAUUGGGCGUAAAGAGCGUGUAGGCGGCCUGGUAGGUCAGCUGUGAAAACUCGAGGCUCAACCUCGAGACGCCGGUUGAAACCAUCAGGCUAGAGUCCGGAAGAGGAGAGUGGAAUUCCCGGCGUAGCGGUGAAAUGCGCAGAUAUCGGGAAGAACACCCGUGGCUAAGGCGGCUCUCUAGUACGGUACUGACGCUGAGACGCGAAAGCGUGGGGAGCGAACAGG